UACAGAGGGUGCGAGCGUUACUCGGAUUUAUUGGGCGUAAAGGGUGCGUAGGAGGCUGGGUAAGUCAGUUGUGAAAUUUCCAGGCUCAACCUGGAAACUGCAGUUGAUACUGCACGGCUAGAGGACCGGAGAGGCAAACGGAAUUCUCGGUGUAGCAGUGAAAUGCAUAGAUAUCGAGAGGAACACCAGUGGCGUAAGCGGUUUGCUGGAAGGUGCCUGACUCUGAAGCACGAAAGCUCGGGGAGCAAACGGG
RNAcentral lists this ribosomal RNA (253 nucleotides) under uncultured bacterium. RNAcentral describes it as "partial 16S ribosomal RNA". It matches the Rfam family "Bacterial small subunit ribosomal RNA", at positions 524 to 776 of the family's 1533-position model. The record is from RNAcentral.